RNAcentral lists this ribosomal RNA (440 nucleotides) under uncultured Sphingomonas sp. Its description in RNAcentral is "partial 16S ribosomal RNA". The record is from RNAcentral. Lineage: Bacteria; Pseudomonadati; Pseudomonadota; Alphaproteobacteria; Sphingomonadales; Sphingomonadaceae.
GACUACUGGGGUAUCUAAGCCUGUUUGCUCCCCACGCUUUCGUACCUCAGCGUCAACAGUCGUCCAGUGAGCCGCCUUCGCCACUGGUGUUCUUCCGAAUAUCUACGAAUUUCACCUCUACACUCGGAAUUCCACUCACCUCUCCGACGUUCAAGCGAGGCAGUCUUAAAGGCAAUUCUGGGGUUGAGCCCCAGGCUUUCACCUCUAACUUACCAAGCCGCCUACGUACGCUUUACGCCCAGUAAUUCCGAACAACGCUAGCCCCCUCCGUAUUACCGCGGCUGCUGGCACGGAGUUAGCCGGGGCUUAUUCUCCCGGUACAGUCAUUAUCUUCCCGGGUAAAAGAGCUUUACAACCCUAAGGCCUUCAUCACUCACGCGGCAUUGCUGGAUCAGGCUUUCGCCCAUUGUCCAAUAUUCCCCACUGCUGCCACCCGUAGG